Capra hircus (goat) is the source of this 187-nucleotide long non-coding RNA. RefSeq lists it as uncharacterized. NCBI's taxonomy places the organism in Eukaryota, Metazoa, Chordata, Mammalia, Artiodactyla, Bovidae. The record is from RefSeq and is a predicted model, not a curated record. The transcript has 3 exons.
AGGAAAUGGUUGGUUUCUUGAUGACGUUGUGAUCAAGGAUCCCACAACGAACCAUGAAUACAGCUUUUUCUGCCACAGAUGGCUGGAUCAAGGGGAAGAUGAUGGUAAAAUCAUCAGAGAACUGUAUGCCAGGAAUAACAGUAUCCUCUCUGCAAGGCAAAAGCUGGAAGUUAUUAGAAAAGAAACA